This 586-nucleotide ribosomal RNA is filed under the name uncultured bacterium. RNAcentral's name for it is "bacterial SSU rRNA". It matches the Rfam family "Bacterial small subunit ribosomal RNA", at positions 28 to 595 of the family's 1533-position model. The record is from RNAcentral.
AAUCAACGCUGGCGGCGUGCCUAACACAUGCAAGUCGAACGCGAAAACCCCGCAAGGGGUUAGUAGAGUGGCGAACGGGUGAGUAACACGUGGGUGACCUACCUUCGAAUGGGGGAUAACGUCCCGAAAGGGACGCUAAUACCGCAUAACAUCCUGCUUUUGAACAGGUGGAGAUCAAAGCCGGGGAUCGCAAGACCUGGCGUUUGAAGAGGGGCCCGCGUCCGAUUAGCUAGUUGGUGAGGUAACGGCCCACCAAGGCGACGAUCAGUAUCCGGCCUGAGAGGGCGGACGGACACACUGGGACUGAGACACGGCCCAGACUCCUACGGGAGGCAGCAGUGGGGAAUUGUUCGCAAUGGGCGCAAGCCUGACGACGCAACGCCGCGUGGAGGAUGAAGGUCUUCGGAUUGUAAACUCCUGUUGCCCGGGACGAAAAGCUUCGACCUAACACGUCGAAGUCUGACGGUACCGGGUGAGGAAGCCCCGGCUAACUCUGUGCCAGCAGCCGCGGUAAUACAGAGGGGGCAAGCGUUGUUCGGAAUUACUGGGCGUAAAGGGCGCGUAGGCGGCCUGCUAAGUCGAACGU